Molecule: long non-coding RNA, 268 nt
Filed under: Fukomys damarensis (Damara mole-rat)
Lineage: Eukaryota; Metazoa; Chordata; Mammalia; Rodentia; Bathyergidae
Description: lncRNA (ENSFDAG00000030939.1)
Source: RNAcentral
GCCGGGGGAACCUGAUGCUCUUCUCAGACUCGGAUUGACAGGUGCUCAGAGCAGGGGACAAGUCUCUUGCUUUGGUGUUUGGGGUAUAUUUGCUGUGAGGGGAAGAGUGAGUCUGCCUGUCAGAGAUCUCAAAGAACCGUUGGAAAUACACCUCAGGGAGAAGAAAGCGCCACUGUUCCUGGAGGUGACAGGAGGCACUAGAAAUGGGGAAAGACCGUAGAUUAUCACACCACAAGAAUGACUUCAGGAAACUGAAGGGACCAAGACA